This 484-nucleotide ribosomal RNA is filed under the name uncultured bacterium. RNAcentral's name for it is "partial 16S ribosomal RNA". It matches the Rfam family "Bacterial small subunit ribosomal RNA", at positions 30 to 507 of the family's 1533-position model. The record is from RNAcentral.
AUUGAACGCUGGCGGCAGGCCUAACACAUGCAAGUCGAGCGGAAGCACGGUGCUUGCUCCUGGAUUCAGCGGCGGACGGGCGGGUGAUGCCGAGGAAUCUGCCUGUCUGCGUUUUAGAAGGGCCGAAAACGGGGGCAAUUACGCCAAACGCCCUUAGGAAGUAAGGGGGGAAGCUUGGGACCUCAGGCUAUUGCACGAGCCGAGGUCGGGUUAGCUAGUUGGCGGGGUAAAGGCCUACCAAGGCGACGAUCCGUAGCUGGUCUGAGAGGAUGAUCAGUCACACUGGAACUGAGACACGGUCCAGACUCCUACGGGAGGCAGCAGUGGGGAAUAUUGGACAAUGGGCGCAAGCCUGAUCCAGCCAUGCCGCGUGUGUGAAGAAGGUCUUCGGAUUGUAAAGCCCUUUAGGUUGGGAGGAAGAGCAGUAAGUUAAUACCUCGCUGUUUUGACGUUACCCAAAGAAUAAGCACCGGCUAACUUCGUG